UUCGCCCCGUUCGAUCCCCUCGCGGUUACCGUUCUCCUCGUUCUCUUCCUCAUCGUCGUCGUCCUCAUCCUCCUCCUCAUCGUUGUCCCACCCAUCGAGCUCGAUUCGGAGGAAAUCGUCGUCCGACGGCGGAUUCGAGGGCGGCGGCGGGGGGACGUCCUCGUCACGCGCCGCCUGCGCGAUCAGCCGCAGGACCUGGAGGAACUGGGAGCCGAGGGCGGGAUCGUCGAGCUGAUCGGGCGGCGAGGGCUGCGCCGACGGCGCGGCCGGUAUCGAGUCGACGACGAAGCCGCCCUUGCACUCGACGCAGACGACUUCGGGGAGGUCCGCUAGGGUUUCGACGGAGACGCGCUUCUCGCAUUGGAAGCACCAGUACUCCGUGGCGGAGGCGGCGGCGGCGGAGGCAGCGGCGUCGGAGAGCACCGGCUGCGCCGGCGGCGGAGCCUGCGCCUGAGAUGGAGACUCCGACAUGUCUUCGCGGCGACGAUCGACGUGCGACGGAACCGCCGAAGAGGAACGCCGUGCGCGGCGGCGACUCACAGAGGAAACGAGUAGCGAUGAGAGAGAAAGAGAGAGAGAGAGAGAGAGAGA
Molecule: long non-coding RNA, 591 nt
Filed under: Eucalyptus grandis
Lineage: Eukaryota; Viridiplantae; Streptophyta; Magnoliopsida; Myrtales; Myrtaceae
Description: long non-coding RNA (EGRA_LNC004611)
Source: RNAcentral